Molecule: long non-coding RNA, 930 nt
Organism: Marmota monax (woodchuck)
Lineage: Eukaryota; Metazoa; Chordata; Mammalia; Rodentia; Sciuridae
Exons: 2
Source: RefSeq, a predicted model, not a curated record
UGAUAAACACACACUUCUUAAAAAAGACUAUUUACAUGGAGCAUAAACGAGGUCCAGAACACUGUGUCCUGUUCAAAAAAUGAAAUGCACAUCUCUCAUCAGGAGUCUCUCAUUUCCAAAAGGCUGAGAAGACAGUUUGUGAAUGAUAAUCCAGCUGUUUAAAUUUAGGGCCGUGGAAAGUUUCAUUGGAACUGAAUUUGAGGGUGCGGCCUCUUGGUGGUUGGGUUUGUUCUCCUCAGAUGUCACAGCUCAGCAAGGACGAAGAGCACAUCUUUCCUUGAAUCCUGAGCUUCAGAGAUGUUUAAGGAACAUCUUGGUCAUUGAUUACACAGGGGAUGCUAAUAUUGUGUUAAGCCGAGUGCCUUCCGCCUUCCGUCUGGCCUUCCUUUCUUACGCUCUCACAACCUUGACUUUUCAGCUCAAUUUAUAACUUACUUGACAUAAAAUAUCAUUAGCAAGUCUAAUGGAAAAUUCCAGUGAAGGAGAGAACCCGCCUCCACUAUGGGAUGGUUAGCUAUUAAUUAAAGCUGACACAUGCCCUCCGCGCUACCCUCCAUGAUGUGUGUGACAGAUCAAGGUGUUGCCUCUUAGCAGUCGGAACGCCAGCUGGCUGCAGAGUGCAGAGGUGGUGGAAUAGUGUACCAGCUCCCACGGGGCUCUCAGGGUGACCAGAGGACUCCAGGCUGGGACAUGGUUGCAACAGGUCUCUCCAAGAUGACAUCUGGGCUUCUGAGCGAGCUUGGAGGAAAAGAAAAGAUUUCUGUUUUCAAAUUCUUCUACUAAAAAUGAAUUCCUUGGGCUGGGGUUUUAGCUCAGUGGUCGAGCGCUUGCCUCACAUGCAUGAAGCCCUGGGUUCCAUCCUCAGCACCACAUUAAACAAAUAAAGAUAUUGUGUCCAUCUACAACUAAAAAAAUGUUUAAAAAAAUGAA